CCUAUAAGGAUUCGCUACAGAGUGUUCUCUGCCCUUAACUAUUAAAAAGGAAAUUAUUCUGCCGAUAACAAAGAAAUCCAACAACAGUCUUCAAUUUCAAAUCCCAUAGGCAAGAGGAAAGAGCGUCGCCUCGCAGCUCUCAGCAACGCCGGCCGUCGCGUCAAGCUCGAUCUCUCUGCCAAACCCUCUGGAGAUUUGGGUGGCUGCUCUGUAAAUUGUGAAGUUGGAACAGACAUAGAUCCAACACAACGUUCUGGAUUACCCAAUUCAACUUCAUCUUCAGGUCAACAACCACAGAAUCCUCUUCUGUUACUUGGACAAUAUAGCGAUGAUGAAUUGGAUAAGGAAUCAAGUAAAAGCCCAAACCAUGCUGUUGCUGAGAAUUCCCCUUCAGACCAUAUUGAUAAGGUAAUUUAGCAUAUGCUGCUUAGUCUUUCAUUGAGACUGUAAUAUAUUUUGGAUGGAAAAUGUAAAGCUCAAGCUUUUUUUAAAGCCAUGUUAGCCGUCAAUGUAGACCCUUAUUUUGUGUGAU
Molecule: long non-coding RNA, 532 nt
Organism: Hevea brasiliensis (rubber tree)
Lineage: Eukaryota; Viridiplantae; Streptophyta; Magnoliopsida; Malpighiales; Euphorbiaceae
Exons: 3
Source: RefSeq, a predicted model, not a curated record